UGUUCAAUUGUACUGUUCAGCGGUUUGAUAAACAGGCUGUUAUUGUUGAGGCUGACGCCACCGGUGGCCCGAACCAUUUCGCCGUCGAGUGGAAUAUCCAGAUGUAAGCGACCACUCACAUCUCCGCCAAUCUGCAGCUCUUCUAACGCUGCCCCGAGAGAGUCUUUCAGCGGAGUGUCCAUAAAGUAGGCGCCAAUAUCUUUACCUGAACCUUUGAUAUCCGAAUCAACGAACAGUUUUUCCUUCAGGUAGUCAGGAAUAUUAGCGACCACGUUAUUGCCAUCAACAUUGCCCAGUUUGGUAUGAGCCGCUUUCAUGAACAAGCCGUCAUUGAGGAAAUCGAGGUCGAUAUCCAGAUUAGUCAGCGCUGGCCAUUCAGGCUGGAAUUCGAAAGUUGAAUGGCGCAAUGGCA
RNAcentral lists this non-coding RNA (412 nucleotides) under uncultured Ewingella sp. Lineage: Bacteria; Pseudomonadati; Pseudomonadota; Gammaproteobacteria; Enterobacterales; Yersiniaceae. The record is from RNAcentral.